RNAcentral lists this small RNA (582 nucleotides) under Pongo abelii (Sumatran orangutan). RNAcentral describes it as "processed transcript". Lineage: Eukaryota; Metazoa; Chordata; Mammalia; Primates; Hominidae. The record is from RNAcentral.
CUGCGCGCGCGCCGUUUCUGGCGGAUCCCCAGUGCGCUGCGCGCUGUUUACACCGGCGUGGUACUAGUCACCCAGCCGCACCCCUCGGAAAGCGCGGAAUCGGUGACAGCCACUUCACAGGCUCACGCGCUCCCACUGUGGGCUUGAGGGGGACGGGGACCGAUUACCAAAGGAGAGCGCUUACUACGGAAGACACAGGGCAGCCUUUGUCUUGGGUUUAGCGCUGAUACGCUCAACCCUGAGUCGGGUUCACUGCAACUGUUGGGUCCGAUUUCGGUUCCCUGCAACCGCCCUCCUGCGCGACAGAUGUCAUUGUGUUCCUGCGGCCAGCGGGUCUGAAAGCUGGGACUUAAGACGCCAGGAGGGUCUUGCGCUCACGGGAAAUGUACCCAAAAGAACUCUGAGAGAAUAUACUCACUGUCCUGCUGUGAUUAAACAAGACUGCUGUAUUUUACCUGAGCUUGGCAAAGCAAGGAUAUGAACAAUUGUGCAGGUGGGCUACUCAGGGCGAGUGAAGAGAUAAGGCAUCCAAUCAGGGAUUGGCCACCUGCAGCCCUGCCAAUAUGCCCCUCCACCAGAUUU